GUGACAAUGGGGUGGUGACAGAGGUGACAAUGGGGGAUGGUGACAAUGGGUGACAAUGGGGCGGUGACAACGGGGAUGGUGACAAUGGGGGGGUGACAAUGGGGGGGGUGACAACAGGGGGGUGGUGACAGUGGGACGUGGUGACAGAUGUGACAAUGGGGAUGGCGACCAUGGGUGACAAUGGGGAUGGGGACAAUGGGGACAGCGACAAUGGGGGGUGGUGACAGUGGGAUGUGGUGACAGAGGUGACAAUGGGGUGGUGACAAUGGGGGGGUGGCAACAGUGGGAUGUGGUGACAGAGGUGACAAUAGGGGAUGGUGAUUAUGGGUGACAAUGGAGAUGGUGACAAUGGGGUGGUGACAAUGGGGUGGUGACAACGGGGGGGUGACAACAGGGGGGUGGUGACAGUGGGAUGUGGUGACAGAGGUGACAGUGGGGGGUGGUGACAAUGGGUGACAAUGGGGAUGGUGACAAUGGGAUGGCGACCAUGGGAUGCGGACAAUGGGGUGGUGACAAUGGGGAUGGGGACAAUGGGGACAGCAACAAUGGGGACGGUAACAGUGGGAUGUGGUGACAGAGGCGACAAUGGGGUAUGGUGACAAUGGGUGACAAUGGGGAUGGUGAUAAUGGGGUGGUGACAAUGGGGGGUGGUGACAAUGGGGACAGCGACAAUGGGGAUGGUGACAAUGGGAUGGCGACAACGAGGUGGUGACAAUGGGGAUGGGGACAAUGGGGACGGCGACAAUGGGGGGGUUGGUGACAAUGGGGGGUGGUGACAGUGGGAUGUAGUGACAGAGGUGACAAUGGGGUGGUGACAAUGGGGUGGUGACAACGGGGGGGUGACAACAGGGGGGUGGUGACAGUGGGAUGUGGUGACAGAUGUGACAAUGGGGAUGGCGACAAUGGGAUGGCGACAAUGGGUGACAAUGGAGAUGGGGACAAUGGGGACAGUGACAAUGGGGGGUGGUGACAGUGGGAUGUGGUGACAGAGGUGACAAUGGGGGGGAUGGUGAUUAUGGGUGACAGUGGGGAUGGUGACAAUGGGGUGGUGACAAUGGGGUGGUGACAACGGGGGGGUGACAA
Molecule: long non-coding RNA, 1083 nt
Filed under: Gallus gallus (chicken)
Lineage: Eukaryota; Metazoa; Chordata; Aves; Galliformes; Phasianidae
Description: lncRNA (ENSGALG00010010092.1)
Source: RNAcentral